This 253-nucleotide ribosomal RNA is filed under the name uncultured bacterium. RNAcentral's name for it is "partial 16S ribosomal RNA". It matches the Rfam family "Bacterial small subunit ribosomal RNA", at positions 524 to 776 of the family's 1533-position model. The record is from RNAcentral.
UACGUAGGUGGCAAGCGUUGUCCGGAUUUACUGGGCGUAAAGAGCGCGCAGGCGGUCGUUCAAGUCGCGUGUGAAAGCCCCCGGCUCAACUGGGGAGGGUCACGCGAUACUGAUCGACUCGAAGGCAGGAGAGGGAAGUGGAAUUCCCGGUGUAGUGGUGAAAUGUGUAGAUAUCGGGAGGAACACCAGUGGCGAAGGCGACUUCCUGGCCUGUUCUUGACGCUGAGGCGCGAAAGCUAGGGUAGCAAACGGG